UCUAAUCCAAGAAGGAACAUAUAAUCUUUGACUCAGAUGUUUUCUCUACUACUUGUUGACUUAUACACAAAAGCACAUUUUAUAACAUCGAGUUACCAAUGCGGUUUCGUACAAUCAAUGCAUAACCAACUCAUAGGCAACAAGUCAUAUCUCUAGGUUUGAAGACUUAUAUGAUAUUACCGUCUCACGAUCACUCGAGAUANAUUUUAUAACAUCGAGUUACCAAUGCGGUUUCGUACAAUCAAUGCAUAACCAACUCAUAGGCAACAAAUCAUAUCUCUAGGUUUGAAGACUUAUAUGAUAUUACCAUCUCACGAUCACCCGAGAUAAAUUCCAUGAAGUGAUACCAGUGAGCGUGGGUUGAGUCCAAUGCUCAGAACUUAUGAACACUCAUGAGUAUUGUAGCCAUGUCCAACAACUUAGACCUCUGCAACCACCUCAUGACAGUCUUGAUUCAUACCUACUUCCAACAUAUGACCGACUGUGGAGAUUUGAAUAAUAUGAUAUACCAAACAUAAUUAUUCUGGAAGUCAGAACAUGCAAAAGAAAUAUAGUAAACGAUUGACAAGAGAUAGCAACACUUUACUCGUAAAUAAACACACCUUUUAUUCAUCAUCAAAUGUCAAUUACACUUUACAAAUUUCAAAAUUAUCUAACUACUAAAACUAAUAUCAUCCUUCAGCCCUAUGCUCCGAGCAUGUUGGAGGUGCUUAACCCGAGUCAGUCCAUUCGUGAGGGGAUCUGCUAGAUUCUCAUCCGAUGAUACCCUCUUUGCUACGAGGAGUCCUUCUUCUAUUCGAUGUCUGAUGAAAUGGCAUUUUCUGUCGAUGUGUCUGGAUCUCCC
This 844-nucleotide long non-coding RNA is filed under the name Lactuca sativa (garden lettuce). RNAcentral's name for it is "long non-coding RNA (LSAT_LNC000697)". The record is from RNAcentral. Lineage: Eukaryota; Viridiplantae; Streptophyta; Magnoliopsida; Asterales; Asteraceae.